This is a long non-coding RNA of Anguilla rostrata (American eel), 1389 nucleotides long. RefSeq lists it as uncharacterized. The transcript is spliced from 5 exons. NCBI's taxonomy places the organism in Eukaryota, Metazoa, Chordata, Actinopteri, Anguilliformes, Anguillidae. The record is from RefSeq and is a predicted model, not a curated record.
UGCAGUUUCAGGUCGGACAGGGCAUCAAGGCUGCGCGAGCUCUGCAGGGUCAGCGCCGGGCAGUCCAGCACUGCGGCAAAAGCCAUUGGUGAAAAACAUCAAUGCAUUUGUGCUGUGUCACAGGAUGACCUCCGAGGUCACAGAAUACGGAUGGCAGCAUGCCACUGUGUCCUCUGGGUUGGGUCCAGAACAGAACAGAAGAACACCCACACAUGGAUUUUAGCCAGCUGACAAAAGCUGAAGAUGACACAAAGGCCACUUCUUUGAGGCCUUUCAAUCCUGAAUAGGAAACAGAAGACAGCCAGAGUGGAACCACUUUCUGUCGAAGAGACAUGAUGCAUCACCUGGCCUUCUAACUGAGAAUUGUUUUUCUCCACCCAGUUGGGAAAGGAUGAAAAAUCUAUUCAUCUGGCAAGUAAGAUAUAUCAUCCUACCACACCCUGGAGAACUGUUUGGGUCACAUACUACACUGGCUACACGAAGGUCCCUGUUGCACACGUCACUGUAUGUCCAGAACUGAGAACAGAGUAAUUCCAGGGAGGAAAGAGGUAAAGAAGACCAGAGGACAGCUGAUGGGAUACUCUCCUAGGUGAGGGAAAGGCUUUCAUAAGGUCACAGAAAGAAAAACCCUGAUUGACAGUGAAAUAUGACUCAAGCACAGUUGGUGAAACCUCACUUAAGUGCUCUGCCAACACCGCGGUCUUGGCAGCGCUGAUUUGAUUGGGAACUAUCGGGACGUGACAUGGAAGCAAUUUACAGAGGGAAGUGGGGGAAGAGGAAUAUAAGGAAGGACAAAGGAGACUUUCAAGGUGAACCCUCAAGAGGGGAAGACCAAGAGAGAAGGAGAAGGUGUGAACAACAGAACAUGAGCGUACUAACAGAUGGAGACUUGAGGGAGGAGCAGGGGAGAGAGAGAAACAGAUGACAAAGUGGGAUGACAGCACAUGUACUGCGUGAACAGAGUAGGCUGGCAUGCAGCUAUGGUAACAUGUUGCAAUCAAUAAGACAUGGAAACACUCAGCAUGACUAAGAGAAGCAGUGGCGGGUUGUUUGGGGAGCAGAGUUUACUAAAACACAUUGCACGGUACAGCAGAUCACUCCUUUCAGAAAUGCUCUAGAUCAUGCACAUAUAGGCAGUGCUUUGACUGGUCAAUGAUUGCGUUCACUGUGUCACUGUGAUCUGUAGUCAAAAGUGCAUUUUGGGCAUUGGCUGUUAGCAACUACAAACACCUUUAUUUAUUUAUUUAUUUUUCAUGAUACUUAAAUAAUAAAUGUCCCUCUGCCUCUCUAUGUAUCUAUGGGUGUUUUCACACUUUCAUUUUUGAUUCAAGUGGACCGUCUCAAGUGGACCAAUGACUCAGCAUAUUUCGUGCAUAUGGGGACACACCA